RNAcentral lists this ribosomal RNA (761 nucleotides) under uncultured Treponema sp. RNAcentral describes it as "bacterial SSU rRNA". It matches the Rfam family "Bacterial small subunit ribosomal RNA", at positions 28 to 776 of the family's 1533-position model. Lineage: Bacteria; Pseudomonadati; Spirochaetota; Spirochaetia; Treponematales; Treponemataceae. The record is from RNAcentral.
AACGAACGCGGGCGGCGCGUCUUAAGCAUGCAAGUCGAACGGUAAGGGAGAGCUUGCUCUCCCCUAGAGUGGCGGACUGGUGAGUAACGCGUGGGUGACCUGCCCUGAAGAUGGGGAUAGCUAGUAGAAAUAUUAGAUAAUACCGAAUGUGCUCAUUUACAUAAAGGUAAAUGAGGAAAGGAGCUACGGCUCCGCUUCAGGAUGGGCCCGCGUCCCAUUAGCUGGUUGGUGAGGUAAAGGCCCACCAAGGCAACGAUGGGUAUCCGGCCUGAGAGGGUGAACGGACACAUUGGGACUGAGAUACGGCCCAAACUCCUACGGGAGGCAGCAGCUAAGAAUCUUCCGCAAUGGACGAAAGUCUGACGGAGCGACGCCGUGUGAAUGAAGAAGGCCGAAAGGUUGUAAAAUUCUUUUGCAGAUGAAGAAUAAGAAGAAGAGGGAAUGCUUCUUUGAUGACGGUAGUCAUGCGAAUAAGCCCCGGCUAAUUACGUGCCAGCAGCCGCGGUAACACGUAAGGGGCGAGCGUUGUUCGGAAUUAUUGGGCGUAAAGGGUAUGUAGGCGGUUAGGUAAGCCUGGUGUGAAAUCUACGAGCUCAACUCGUAAACUGCAUUGGGUACUGCUUGACUUGAAUCACGGAGGGGAAACCGGAAUUCCAAGUGUAGGGGUGGAAUCUGUAGAUAUUUGGAAGAACACCGGUGGCGAAGGCGGGUUUCUGGCCGAUGAUUGACGCUGAUAUACGAAGGUGCGGGGAGCAAACAGG